RNAcentral lists this ribosomal RNA (483 nucleotides) under uncultured bacterium. RNAcentral describes it as "partial 16S ribosomal RNA". It matches the Rfam family "Bacterial small subunit ribosomal RNA", at positions 30 to 507 of the family's 1533-position model. The record is from RNAcentral.
UUGAACGCUGGCGGCAGGCCUAACCCAUGCAAGUCGCGCGGAUGAAGGGAGCUUGCUCCUGGCUUCAGCGGCGGACGGGUGAGUAAUGCCUAGGAAUCUGCCUGGUAGUGGGGGAUAACGUCCGGAAACGGGCGCUAAUACCGCAUACGUCCUGAGGGAGAAAGUGGGGGAUCUUCGGACCUCACGCUAUCAGAUGAGCCUAGGUCGGAUUAGCUAGUUGGUGGGGUAAAGGCCUACCAAGGCGACGAUCCGUAACUGGUCUGAGAGGAUGAUCAGUCACACUGGAACUGAGACACGGUCCAGACUCCUACGGGAGGCAGCAGUGGGGAAUAUUGGACAAUGGGCGAAAGCCUGAUCCAGCCAUGCCGCGUGUGUGAAGAAGGUCUUCGGAUUGUAAAGCACUUUAAGUUGGGAGGAAGGGCAGUAAGUUAAUACCUUGCUGUUUUGACGUUACCAACAGAAUAAGCACCGGCUAACUUCGUG